UACGAAGGGGGCUAGCGUUGCUCGGAAUCACUGGGCGUAAAGGGUGCGUAGGCGGGUCUUUAAGUCAGGGGUGAAAUCCUGGAGCUCAACUCCAGAACUGCCUUUGAUACUGAAGAUCUUGAGUUCGGGAGAGUGAGUGGAACUGCGAGUGUAGAGGUGAAAUUCGUAGAUAUUCGCAAGAACACCAGUGGCGAAGGCGGCUCACUGGCCCGAUACUGACGCUGAGGCACGAAAGCGUGGGGAGCAAACAGG
This 252-nucleotide ribosomal RNA is filed under the name uncultured bacterium. RNAcentral's name for it is "partial 16S ribosomal RNA". It matches the Rfam family "Bacterial small subunit ribosomal RNA", at positions 524 to 776 of the family's 1533-position model. The record is from RNAcentral.